CGCGUAGGCGGUUCGUUAAGUUGCUGGUGAAAUCCCGGGGCUCAACUCCGGGGCUGCCGGCAAGACUGGCGGGCUAGAGCACGGUAGAGGCGGAUGGAAUUCCCGGUGUAGCGGUGGAAUGCGUAGAUAUCGGGAAGAAUACCGGUGGCGAAGGCGUUCCGCUGGGCCGUUGCUGACGCUGAGGCGCGACAGCGUGGGGAGCAAACAG
RNAcentral lists this ribosomal RNA (208 nucleotides) under uncultured bacterium. Its description in RNAcentral is "partial 16S ribosomal RNA". It matches the Rfam family "Bacterial small subunit ribosomal RNA", at positions 568 to 775 of the family's 1533-position model. The record is from RNAcentral.